This is a long non-coding RNA of Suricata suricatta (meerkat), 1195 nucleotides long. RefSeq lists it as uncharacterized. The record is from RefSeq and is a predicted model, not a curated record. The transcript is spliced from 2 exons. NCBI's taxonomy places the organism in Eukaryota, Metazoa, Chordata, Mammalia, Carnivora, Herpestidae.
UCUUUAAACCAAUGCCAUGUUGACUUGUUCUCACCUUCCCCAGCUGCUUUCUGCUCCUCCUGGCGGAUCCCCAGUUAUGCUAGUCCACGACUCCUGAGAAGCAGUUCCCAAGAUCUGUUAAACUUGUUUGGAGCCAACAAACUCCACCUUGGGACUAACUGCAAAUGGCAUCUGUGUCAUUCUUCAGUAACGUUCACACGAGAGUGUUCUGAUCAAGCAUGCAGUCCGCAUCAUGAUUACUCAUCUAUGCAAAGAAUGGAGUCCAAGUUGCUCUGGUGACCUUAGUUCUCAAUAUCCUGGCCCUUCAGUCAAAUGAUGCACUUCUAAAGAGCAUUCACACAAUUGUCUCAUUGAAAAUCCUAGAUGCUGAUUUGCUACAUCACUGAAGCCUAUACUGAGGUCUAAUAAGUAUUUGAAAAGGAUCAUCAGGAAAUAAUCUCUCUUCCAGUCUACCUGCCUGCCAGGAAAAACAGGCAAAUUGUCUUGUUUUAUGUUAAGCCAAGCCAACGGGAAAGAAUUCUUUCUGAUUCACAGUCCACACAGAGCAUUCCUUUUGCAAGUUUACAGAUGAAUAAACCUCACAUUCUAAUUAGGACCCAUCGACCUCCUAAUCAGCUCACCUGAUAGUGAAAAGCAACCCUCUAUUAGUAGUUUCUGGCAAGGGCGCUAUCUGUCUGGAAAGAACUCGUUUUCUCCUAAUUUAGAGCUGUCCUUUGGACUUAAGGAUGUUUGCCUGUUUGCGGGAGCUCGGUAAACAGUCUGUUCUGACACACUCAACCGCUGGCAACUUCACACCAGGAUCCUCACCGGGUCUGCAGACCGAGAAGUAAAUUCAUUAACGCCUGUCAGGCAGGUCCAGUGCUGGUCCAGCGGUAUCAGGAACUGGGACCCAGAACAUGCUCGAACACAUCCGGAAGCCUCCAUGUUGGACGGCUUGGAAAACAAGCCAACAGGGAUGUUGUUGUGGGGUCGUGGAGCCCAACAGUCGAGAGAGAAAUUUUGAGACUUGUAUGGUGCAACUUAGUAAGUUUAUUUAAGUAGCACAGGGACAGGACCUCAGGCAGAAGGGGCUGCGGUUUUGCUGUAUGAAGCUGGUGGUUAUAGGCUUAGUGCUCAAGGUGGAGGGGACGUGCAGGGAGCGUUAGGUCAUAAAUGUUUUCUUCACAUUCCUACCCAUAAAACUACUUUCAUGAGA